UACGUAGGGUGCGAGCGUUGUCCGGAAUUAUUGGGCGUAAAGAGCUUGUAGGCGGUUUGUCGCGUCUGCUGUGAAAAUCCGGGGCUCAACCCCGGACUUGCAGUGGGUACGGGCAGACUAGAGUGUGGUAGGGGAGACUGGAAUUCCUGGUGUAGCGGUGAAAUGCGCAGAUAUCAGGAGGAACACCGAUGGCGAAGGCAGGUCUCUGGGCCACUACUGACGCUGAGAAGC
RNAcentral lists this ribosomal RNA (231 nucleotides) under uncultured bacterium. RNAcentral describes it as "partial 16S ribosomal RNA". It matches the Rfam family "Bacterial small subunit ribosomal RNA", at positions 524 to 754 of the family's 1533-position model. The record is from RNAcentral.